Long non-coding RNA from Triticum aestivum (bread wheat), 374 nucleotides. RefSeq lists it as uncharacterized. NCBI's taxonomy places the organism in Eukaryota, Viridiplantae, Streptophyta, Magnoliopsida, Poales, Poaceae. The transcript is spliced from 3 exons. The record is from RefSeq and is a predicted model, not a curated record.
UGAUGGGUCCAUUAUACAUUAAGAAUUUGUAUGACCUGACAUUCACGGGUGCUAACAUUUUCUGAAUAGGCAUGAGUGAAAAGGUGAUUAAGAAUUCUGAUCGAUAGUGAUGGGGAGGUAUUUGUCGAGGUUGCUAGGUGUGUGGACUUUCCUUUUCUGCAAGGACUUCUUUAGUUCUUCGCUUGCAAUUUGGAUGACCGUGUGAAGCACUGAAUUCCGCCCUUGAUGAGAUGCCUGGCAAUCAUUCUGUUUUCUUAAUGGGAGAAGAGGUACCAGGAUACCACCUGGAAGACAAGAUAAUAACAUUGCAGAUAGACAGAAACAGAAUUACUUUACACUAAUUCGACGUCUAUCGAGCAAUGGAACAACAAAGG